AGUGAACGCUGGCGGUAGGCCUAACACAUGCAAGUCGAACGGCAGCACAGUAAGAGCUUGCUCUUACGGGUGGCGAGUGGCGGACGGGUGAGGAAUACAUCGGAAUCUACUUUUUCGUGGGGGAUAACGUAGGGAAACUUACGCUAAUACCGCAUACGACCUACGGGUGAAAGCAGGGGAUCUUCGGACCUUGCGCGAUUGAAUGAGCCGAUGUCGGAUUAGCUAGUUGGCGGGGUAAAGGUCCACCAAGGCGACGAUCCGUAGCUGGUCUGAGAGGAUGAUCAGCCACACUGGAACUGAGACACGGUCCAGACUCCUACGGGAGGCAGCAGUGGGGAAUAUUGGACAAUGGGCGCAAGCCUGAUCCAGCCAUACCGCGUGGGUGAAGAAGGCCUUCGGGUUGUAAAGCCCUUUUGUUGGGAAAGAAAAGCGGCAGGUUAAUACCCCGCUGUUCUGACGGUGCCCAAAGAAUAAGCACCGGCUAACUUCGUG
This 492-nucleotide ribosomal RNA is filed under the name uncultured bacterium. RNAcentral's name for it is "partial 16S ribosomal RNA". It matches the Rfam family "Bacterial small subunit ribosomal RNA", at positions 29 to 507 of the family's 1533-position model. The record is from RNAcentral.